This 256-nucleotide long non-coding RNA is filed under the name Hordeum vulgare. RNAcentral's name for it is "long non-coding RNA (HVUL_LNC020382)". The record is from RNAcentral. Lineage: Eukaryota; Viridiplantae; Streptophyta; Magnoliopsida; Poales; Poaceae.
CGACAGUGAGCGAGCAAAUCAACCCCAGGCCGCAAAAAUUUAUGGCUGUUUUCUCCAACAACCCCAGGACCUUCAGAGUUCUAUAAAAGCCAGCUUCACCCCCACAUUCUCGACCUCAUUCUUCUUCUCUCCCUCCUUUGAAUCCAGAUCCUUGCUGAGUUCGCCAUGGAGUUCAAGCUGACAAGCACCGCCACCGAGGUGCUUGACAAGGCUGCCGCUCUCGCGGCCGCCGGCCUAGGCUUGGAAGGAGAAGNNN